AACGCACCUUGCGCCCGCCAGUAUUCUGGCGGGCAUGCCUGUUCGAGCGUCAUUUCAACCAUCAAGCCCCGGGCUUGUGUUGGGGAUCUGCGGCUGCCCGCAGGCCCUGAAAACCAGUGGCGGGCUCGCUGUCACUCCGAGCGUAGUAGCACUCGUAUCUCGCUCAGGGCGUGCCGCGGGCUCCGGCCGUUAAACCGCCUCUUUAGCACCCAAAGGUUGACCUCGGAUCAGGUAGGAGGACCCGCUGAACUUAA
RNAcentral lists this unclassified non-coding RNA (254 nucleotides) under uncultured Sordariales. Its description in RNAcentral is "sequence contains ITS2". Lineage: Eukaryota; Fungi; Ascomycota; Sordariomycetes; Sordariales. The record is from RNAcentral.